GAUGAAGAACGUAGCGAAAUGCGAUAAGUAAUGUGAAUUGCAGAAUUCAGUGAAUCAUCGAAUCUUUGAACGCACAUUGCGCCCGCCAGUAUUCUGGCGGGCAUGCCUGUUCGAGCGUCAUUACAACCCUCAGGCCCCCGGGCCUGGCGUUGGGGAUCGGCGGAAGCCCCCUGUGGGCACACGCCGUCCCUCAAAUACAGUGGCGGUCCCGCCGCAGCUUCCAUUGCGUAGUAGCUAACACCUCGCAACUGGAGAGCGGCGCGGCCAUGCCGUAAAACACCCAACUUCUGAAUGUUGACCUCGAAUCAGGUAGGAAUAACCGCUGAACUUAAGCAUAUCAAUAAGCGGAGGA
RNAcentral lists this unclassified non-coding RNA (352 nucleotides) under soil metagenome. Its description in RNAcentral is "partial contains 5.8S ribosomal RNA, internal transcribed spacer 2, and large subunit ribosomal RNA". The stretch from base 1 to 120 matches the Rfam family "5.8S ribosomal RNA", at positions 35 to 154 of the family's 154-position model. The record is from RNAcentral.